GGCAUUCAAGACUGGUUAGCUAGAGUCUUGUAGAGGGGGGUAGAAUUCCAUGUGUAGCGGUGAAAUGCGUAGAGAUGUGGAGGAAUACCGGUGGCGAAGGCGGCCCCCUGGACAAAGACUGACGCUCAUGUGCGAAAGCGUGGGGAGCAAACAGGAUUAGAUACCCUGGUAGUCCACGCUGUAAACGAUGUCGAUUUGGA
This 200-nucleotide ribosomal RNA is filed under the name uncultured bacterium. Its description in RNAcentral is "partial 16S ribosomal RNA". It matches the Rfam family "Bacterial small subunit ribosomal RNA", at positions 622 to 821 of the family's 1533-position model. The record is from RNAcentral.